Long non-coding RNA from Cyprinus carpio carpio, 956 nucleotides. Lineage: Eukaryota; Metazoa; Chordata; Actinopteri; Cypriniformes; Cyprinidae. The record is from Ensembl.
UCCUUUAACCCUCUAUGGCAUGGUGUUGCCCUCAGGCAACAAACUACCUUUUUGGACCUCACACUGCCCCUUAAAUUUUUUUUUAUUAAAAAAAAAUGUAUAAUAUCACCUGACAUGUCUGUCCAAUCAAAUGAGGGACUAAAGUGGUUGUAGCCUUUUGUUUGGGGGUGGGGCAGUCCUUUCCGGAAGCAAAGUCACAUGGGACACAGUGCCACCAAUUGGAAAUGGACACAAGACAAUUUUACGGGCGGAAGGAACAUGAUCGAGCAGUUAGGGUCAUUCCUUCUGACAGUGAGGACAGUGAGCUUGUGGAGAGUGAAAAUGAGGACAGUGAGGUUGAGGAGAGUCAUGAAGACUGGAUCCCUGAAUCAGGUUUGAGAGACAGUUUGGAGGUCAGGGGUCAGUAAGGGGUCAGUCAGCAAAGUAUCAUGUGUGUGUGUGUGCGUACAUGUGUGUGUGUUUGUUUGCAUGCAUGUCAUUGUAUGAUGAAGGGUAUAUGACAAACAUGCUUCCUGCUGUCUUUUUUAGGAGAAUGCCUGUCUCUUGACAAUGACACAUAGUCAUUCGGAUGUUGGUUAAUAUAUAAGUGUUACAAUAUGUUUAUAUGAAAUGUCAGAAACAUUUGGUGUUGUAAUUAGUAGUAGUUUGUUUAUUUGAUUGUUCAUUGUUUUUUUUUUAUUGGUUGGAACCAUUUGUUAUUGAUGUUUGUCAAAAUAAAACAUGUUCUAAUGAAUAUAUUACAUGUUUUCCUUAUUCCACUAAUAUAGAAAACCUUGCUGUUUUAGUACCCUCAUAGCACAUUGUUGCCCUGAGGCAACGAACCAAUAUUUUGUUCAGGGGUGGGGGGGGGACACAUUUUAUGAUGGAUAUAUUACCAGGGACCCCCAAGCUCCCAAAAAAUGGGGUAACAUAUUUUUUCCCCCCCAAAAUAAAAAGUCAUGCCAUAGAGGGUUAAA